Paramisgurnus dabryanus is the source of this 2116-nucleotide non-coding RNA. The record is from RefSeq and is a predicted model, not a curated record. NCBI's taxonomy places the organism in Eukaryota, Metazoa, Chordata, Actinopteri, Cypriniformes, Cobitidae.
UCUGAUCUGAAUGUGCUGCUGCUUAGCUCUGGACAGAGACAAGGAUACGAAAGAACAUGCCUGAAAAAUGACUCGACGUUUAAUAUAUACGACGAGAUUAAUGCACAUCACAAGUUCAGAACGCGUAAAUUAGACGAAUGAAACGCAUAAGUCACCACGCAAUCUACUCAAGCAGAUGAAAGUGUUCGCAACGCCUCUGGAAGUUUGGUUUGCUUUACCUGUUUUGCAUGGACAACAUGGACACUCAAUCAUAUAUGUUAAGAAAUUAUAGCGUUGGGUAACUUCCCAGAUGGAGUUCUCAGCAUGCAGAGAUCUUCUAAAAAUGACUUACUUUUGGCAGUGAAACAAAGGAAUCAAGAAAAUCAGUCCAGUGGGCGUCCAGCAGAAAGAACUGUGCUGUGUUUACGGGAGACCUGUAGGACUGAGACACAAAGUGCACUGCAAGACGAUGUUCUGUCUACUGUUACUCUGAGUGUGCCAGUCCACUCCUGAACGGCCUAAAUGACCACAGGAUUUCACACCAGCAACUAGAUGGACAUUCAGAUGACAAGGAUAAACCUCCGCCACCACAACAACUAUUGUUCACACAGCUCAGGCUGAGCUCUGCCAACAGACCUCGCUACAGCCGGAAUGUGAAUCAACACCCAAUUACAUUUCUGUAGAACCAUGAAACGCAAAAUAACAUUCGUCAGCUUCCAGGAACACCAGAAUCACAGCUGAUGUCGUCACACUCUCUCUCCCUCCUUUAUAUAUUAAAACAGUGGCAUUUGAAAACGUAUCUGUUUGCUUGUGCGUUUCAUGUUUUGUGAUUUUGUUUUCUUGAUUGUUUCAUCUUGAUUAUUUGAUUAUCUUUAACUAUUGUUGAUGGACAUAUGUGAUCGUGUACAGCACUUUGGUCAACCAAUGUUGUUUUAAAUUUGCUUUAUAAAUGAAAUAAACUUGAAACCUUGACUAUAGGGGUCUAAAGACACAAAAUAAAGUCAGAAAUCUUGGUGUAAUCUUAGAGUCUGAUCAUAAUUUCAGUAGUCACGUGAAAGCAAUAAGCAAAUCAGCUUACUACCAUCUCAGAAAUAUUGCCAGAAUUAGAUGUUUCUUCUCAAGACAGGAUUUGUUCAAGCUUUCAUCACCAGCAGGGUGGAUUAUUACAGUGGACUCCAUACUGGGAUUCCCAAAAAGACCAUUAGACAGCUUCAGCUCAUACAGAACGCUGCUGCCAGAAUUCUGACCAGAACCAAAAAAUCUGAGCACAUUACUGCAGUCCUCAGGUCCUUACACCGGCUUCCUGUUACAUUUAGAAUAGAUUUUAAAGUAUUGUUACUUGUUUAUUAAUCACUUCAUGGCUUAGGACCGAAAUACAUUACAGAUAUGCUAACUAAAUAUAAACAGAUUACUCAUCAGUAGGAUCAGGUCAGUUAGAAAUACCAAGGGUUCAUUUUAUGUGAGGGGAAUUGAGUCCUGAUAUGCUGUGACGGAGUUCUUAUUGUUGAGUAAUCCAACUAUGGCAAUGUCAUCAGCGUAUUUGUAUUUGUAAGUAGUGAUGGGUGAUGGGUUAUUGCAAUCGUUGGUGUACCGGGUGUAAUGGAAAGGGCUGAGAACACAGCCCUGUGGGGCACCAGUGUUGGGGAUGAUGGUUGAAGAUGUUUUUGAGCCAAUUCUAACAGUUUGCUGUCUGUUGCUGAGGAAGUUAUGGAUCCAGUGAAUGAGAGGGGGGGGGGUGUUGAGGUGAUGUAAUUUCUUGAUGAGCUGGUGACGUUGGAUUGUAUUGAAAGCGGAACUGAAGUCAAUGAAGAGAACUGAGGCAAAGUUUCCAGUGGCUUAGGACCGAAAUACAUUACAGAUAUGCAAAUUGAAUAUAAACCUAACAGAUUACUCAUCAGUAGGAUCAGGUCAGUUAGAAAUACCAAAGGUUCAGUUAAAACAAGGUGCGUCUGAAUUUAGCUAUUAUGCCACCUGUAACUGGAAUCAGCUUCCAGAAGAGAUCAGAUGUUCUUCAACAUUAGACACUUUUAAAUCUAGAUUAAAAACACAACCCUUGUGAUUUUUAUUUCUCUUGUAUUCUUUUUUUUUACACAUUUUAAACCGUUUUUAUUAAAAUCAAAUUUAUUUUCUUUUAAUU